AAGUUAAGGUUUGUUUUGGAUGAUUUGGGUUUUAUGAAAUAAAAUAGGGUUUAUGUUUUGGGUGUUUUCAAGAGUUUUGUAGUAGAUCUACAAGUGGAAUUUUGUGGGUUUAUAGUUAUAGUUGUGUUUAAUAUGAGUCGUGAAUUUCAGCUUUAUCUAAUAGUUGAAUUGAGGGAUAUUGAGGUUUAAGUGGAUCAAGGUCUCAAAAAGUAGAAUUUUAGAUCUUGUAGGAUUUUUUAAGAUUUCGUGCAAUCUACUAGUUGGAUUGGAGUGAAACUUAUGUGAGAGGAUAUUAGACUUUUUUCUAUGUAUAUGAGAAUUUUAAGAUGAAUCGAAUGGUGUAAAAAAGAGAUAUUGGCUCUGGAAGAUUGGCAUCAAGAUUAGAGAAGGAGGCCAGCCAAUACCCAAGCACAUUUUUGAGGUUAUCGUCAAUUUGGUAACUCCGAUCCUUUUCAAUUUUUUUGUACUUAUUUUGAACUUAGUUUUUAAGAAGUGUGCAAAAUUUGAAUUAAGAUCAAUGGUUUAUUAUUUAGUUAUUGAGGUUUAAAUCUAUUAUAAGAAUUACUAGGGUUUGAUUUAGGAUUUGGUUAGGAUUUGGUUAGGAUUUGGUUUAGGAUUUAGGAUUUGGAUUAGAGUUUGGUUUAGGAUUUAGUUAGGAUUUUAUUUAGAAUUUAAGAUUUGGUUUAGGAUUUGGUUAAGAUUUGGUUUAAGAUUUGGUUGGGGUUUGAUUUAAGGUUUGUUUAGGGUUUGAUUUAGGGUUUAGGAUUUUAUUUGGAUUUAAGAUUCCAUUAGUUUUGGCCUAAAGUUUUAAUGAAGUUCAAUAGGAUUUUAACCAAAAUUAAAUUAAGAUUGAAUUGAGAUAUAUUUGAGUGAUAUUUGUGAUCCUUCUAAUAUUUCUUUAAGAAUUCUUAUUGUUUGUUUGAAAUUUCUUUGAGUUUUUAUGAAUUUGAUUAAGCUUGCUUAGCAUUAUUAUAAUCUAAUUAGAGCAUUUUU
Molecule: long non-coding RNA, 993 nt
Filed under: Physcomitrium patens
Lineage: Eukaryota; Viridiplantae; Streptophyta; Bryopsida; Funariales; Funariaceae
Description: long non-coding RNA (PPAT_LNC004899)
Source: RNAcentral